RNAcentral lists this transfer RNA (65 nucleotides) under Acanthoscelides obtectus. RNAcentral describes it as "tRNA-Asn". Lineage: Eukaryota; Metazoa; Arthropoda; Insecta; Coleoptera; Chrysomelidae. The record is from RNAcentral.
UUAAUUGAAACCAAAAAGAGGUAUAUCACUGUUAAUGAUCAAAUUGAGAAAUUUCUCCAAUUAAG